GUCCCCUUCGUCUAGAGGCCUAGGACACCCGCCUUUCACGCAGGUAACACGGGUUCGAAUCCCGUAGGGGACGCCA
This 76-nucleotide transfer RNA is filed under the name Alphaproteobacteria bacterium. RNAcentral describes it as "tRNA-Glu". It matches the Rfam family "tRNA". From Rfam's summary of the family: Transfer RNA (tRNA) molecules are approximately 80 nucleotides in length. Their secondary structure includes four short double-helical elements and three loops (D, anti-codon, and T loops). Lineage: Bacteria; Pseudomonadati; Pseudomonadota; Alphaproteobacteria. The record is from RNAcentral.